UUGAAAGGGAAACGAUUGAAGUCAGUCGUACCUGCGGACAAUCAGCUUUUUGAGUGUGAUUAUGUGGAUUGUGAGGAGUUUAAUCACCCUCAUGUUUUACGUAUUCGUGCUCUUGGGUGUACUUGCCCGUGUGGUAGGUUAACAUCAAUUUUGGUCGUCAUAAAAUGACUGGAGGAAUGUAGCUUUGGUCUCGUAUCGAAGUGUUAUAGACUCUGGUAGAUGUGACGAUUGGGAUUGAGGAUUGCAACGGAUACCCUUCGGGGCUACUCGUCUGAUCUCUGAAGGUUGCUCCGGUGCCGAAAGCGUGCUUACGGUCAUCGAAAGUGAUUUUCAAAAGGUUAGAACGGGUUAAAUUCGUUAAG
This 362-nucleotide ribosomal RNA is filed under the name uncultured Glomeromycotina. Its description in RNAcentral is "LSU rRNA". Lineage: Eukaryota; Fungi; Glomeromycota. The record is from RNAcentral.